AACUUUCAGCAACGGAUCUCUUGGCUCUCGCAUCGAUGAAGAACGCAGCGAAAUGCGAUAAGUAAUGUGAAUUGCAGAAUUCAGUGAAUCAUCGAAUCUUUGAACGCACCUUGCGCCCUUUGGCUAUUCUGAAGGGCAUGCCUGUUUGAGUAUCAUGAA
This 159-nucleotide ribosomal RNA is filed under the name uncultured Tomentella. RNAcentral describes it as "5.8S ribosomal RNA". It matches the Rfam family "5.8S ribosomal RNA". Rfam says of the family: 5.8S ribosomal RNA (5.8S rRNA) is a component of the large subunit of the eukaryotic ribosome. The record is from RNAcentral. Lineage: Eukaryota; Fungi; Basidiomycota; Agaricomycetes; Thelephorales; Thelephoraceae.